Non-coding RNA from Drosophila melanogaster (fruit fly), 268 nucleotides. The record is from Ensembl. NCBI's taxonomy places the organism in Eukaryota, Metazoa, Arthropoda, Insecta, Diptera, Drosophilidae.
AUAACAAAAUUGACAAAAUUGGUGAAAAUCCCUUUCAAACAUUACGCAGCUUUCCUUCCAAAUAAUACGACAGCUUUCAACUCGUAAAACUGAGGCAAUAAAAUUUUUUGAAGGACAGUGUCGACAUGAAAGAGACAAGCGCAGAUCACAAGAAAGAGACGGAAGAGUGAGUCAAGAAAGUGACAGUCCUAGGGCAUGAGAAAGAGACAGAGUAAUCUGCUGCGCACACACGUUUCAGUGAUAACCAAAUUUCAGAAGUAGCGGCCAG